This 83-nucleotide transfer RNA is filed under the name Dendrothele bispora CBS 962.96. RNAcentral describes it as "Dendrothele bispora (strain CBS 962.96) tRNA". It matches the Rfam family "tRNA". Rfam says of the family: Transfer RNA (tRNA) molecules are approximately 80 nucleotides in length. Lineage: Eukaryota; Fungi; Basidiomycota; Agaricomycetes; Agaricales. The record is from Rfam by way of RNAcentral.
GGGCACUUGGCACAGUUGGUAGCGCGCACGCUUCGCAUUCAUAGAACUGCGUGAGGUCAGGAGUUCGACUCUCCUAGUGUCCA